Molecule: ribosomal RNA, 166 nt
Filed under: uncultured bacterium
Lineage: Bacteria
Description: partial 16S rRNA
Rfam family: Bacterial small subunit ribosomal RNA
Source: RNAcentral
UAGGGAAUCUUCGGCAAUGGGGGGCAACCCUGACCGAGCAACGCCGCGUGAGUGAAGAAGGUUUUCGGAUCGUAAAGCUCUGUUGUAAGAGAAGAACGUGUGUGAGAGUGGAGAGUUCACACAGUGACGGUAACUUACCAGAAAGGGACGGCUAACUACGUACCAG